This is a long non-coding RNA of Nymphalis io (European peacock), 797 nucleotides long. RefSeq lists it as uncharacterized. The record is from RefSeq and is a predicted model, not a curated record. The transcript has 3 exons. NCBI's taxonomy places the organism in Eukaryota, Metazoa, Arthropoda, Insecta, Lepidoptera, Nymphalidae.
UUUUACGUGUAUUUACGAUCUUAUGUAACAUUUUAUUUAAGAAUAUAAUACAUUUUUAUAAUCCUAUUAUACUGUUGCUAUUUUAUUUAUUGGAACUCGAUGAAGUGUAAAUAAAUAUUUUUGAUUUUUCAUUAUGUAAUGCUUUGUUUUUUAGUGUUGUGAAACAUGCCAGCGAGAAGCUAGGGGACCCAUUUGCCCCGUCGAACUAAUAAAACAUCAAGCAUGCGUAAUAAUAGAGCAGAAAGAACAGACGAUUAAAACCAACAAAAUAACGAAAAUGUGCGUGUGAGCAAAUCACCAUUCAACGGUUUGCUCAUCGGCACGUAUCCGUAGUAGCAAUGCUGUUCCUGAAGUCUAAUCGCACACGAAAAAAUAUCGCAAAGGACUUCGUUCCUCCCCGGGUCAAGAAACCCAAAUUGUAGCAAGUGAGUCACGGUAAUAUUAAAAUUCUCGCGCAAGAAGAAAAAUCAUGGUGAUGGCCAACGAUGCGACAGCGAACAAACGCCAUGUUUAUCCCAUAUUCUACCGCCAAACAGCAAUAUUUAGUAUUGUUGUGUUCCGGCUUAUAUAGCGAUGGAGACAGUAUAACUACAGGAACAAGGGACAAGGGUGGGAGUGACCAUUUACCAAUAUUAUAAAAGAAACAAAAAACGGACUAUCUUUUUCAAAAGUUCUGUCUCAUAAUGUGGGACGAAUGUACGAUGAGCCACCACUCACACACAAAAUCCGUAGACAUAACCUAAGAAAACAAUAAUAAAUAAACGCAUGAAAAGAUUCUCAGGGUGGUGCUUUAUGCG